GAGGGAAGUGGGACAAGGUAGGAGAGUGCGGGGGGGGGAGGGGCUGGGGUAACGGAAGCCCAGGAGUGGAUAGGCAUAUAGGUUGCUCCGCCCUCUUUCCUUUUCUUGCCCACUUGGCCGCUGGCGGUUUUCUUCUAGUUCUGCGGCUGGUGUUUCUUCUUCUCGCUUCCUCCCUUGUCCUUAGUAAGCUCCAAAGGGGCAGUGUCCCCAGCACAGUGCCUGAAGCACAGUAUGUUUCAUCAAUAUGCUCAGAAUGACAGAGCGCACUGCAGUCCUAUGCUCUUUAUGCUUAUGCGGGCCUUGUGGUGGGCUAAAUGAGCAUACAGAAAAGAAGUGGAAAUUCAGACAUUUACUCCUCAAAGUACAUCACGUUUGAAUCCAAGACAAACCUGUCUUACUGCAAAUUCCGACCAGAAUGGGCACUCUUCAAGUGAAAUUCUGUAUAUAUUACAAUGAAUUCUAUGAGAUGUAAAAAGCCUGGAUUAUUGACCAAAGGACACGUGUAACAGCAUUUCUUCAUAUUCUUCAAGGGAACCAUCUUGUACCACUUGUCAUGCAACACGUCCAUAAACCCAUGGGACUUGUACUGACUGAUGAGUUCGGAUAUAUUGGAGAGGGAGCUCUUUCAUGCGCCAUUUUGUGCUCAUCCCCUUUGAAAACAAUGUGGUGUGUGGAGAAGAUGGGAACUUUAAGAGCUAAGGCUCAGCAGCACAGACGGAAAUGUAAACAGGGAACCAGUGGGGAGUUAAUUGUGUGGCAUCUGGCACUGGGGUCUAGCAGAGGCAAACAAGCCAUCUCACCACUGUCUUUUGACAAGCUAGGGUUGCCCCCUGAAGACAAAGGUGGAGAAUGGAGUCCCUCAUUCUUAUGCCCGCUGCAAAUGAUUCAUUGUUAGUAGUUGCUAAAGGCAAGAGGGACCUCAAUUACCCAGUAUAUCUAGGACAGAAAAGAAAUGUAACAUCCUUUGCAUAUCCCCAGAUGCCACCAAAAAAAAGAAAGAAAAGGGAUUUUUCCAU
This is a long non-coding RNA of Mustela erminea (ermine), 1016 nucleotides long. RefSeq lists it as uncharacterized. The transcript is spliced from 4 exons. The record is from RefSeq and is a predicted model, not a curated record. Lineage: Eukaryota; Metazoa; Chordata; Mammalia; Carnivora; Mustelidae.